This 1087-nucleotide long non-coding RNA is filed under the name Phaseolus vulgaris (common bean). Its description in RNAcentral is "long non-coding RNA (PVUL_LNC001457)". Lineage: Eukaryota; Viridiplantae; Streptophyta; Magnoliopsida; Fabales; Fabaceae. The record is from RNAcentral.
UAAUUUAUUAAUUCUUUGCUGAUAAAAGAAAAGAAUUUUCCUUUACAAGGUAUUCACCAAUUUCACGAUCUUAUAACAAACUUCAAUUUAACGAUCUCUAAUAUAGACACUUCUUGUUAAUAUGUGUGUAGACUGUCUAUGCUGAUGGGUCGUCCAAUAAGACGGCAUGUGGAGUUGGCAUCGUCUUCGAAGGUCCGAACGACCUCAUUCUCGACUCGGCAUUAAAGUUCGAGUUCAAGGCCAUCAACAACCAAGCCGAGUACGAGGUUAUCCUCACUGGUCUAAACUUGGCGUACGACAUGGGACAUGGGAGCUCGUGAAGUAACGUGUAAAAGCGACUCCCAAUUGGUGGUCACCCCGAUCAAGGAAAAGUUUGAAGUGAAGGAACCUUUGUUGCAAAGGUACUACCAUACAGUUUCCAACCUCAUCGCUUAAUUUGAAAGAGUGACGGUGUAGCACAUCCGUAGAGAAGACAACAUGAGGGCCAACGCAUUGUCUCAGCUGGCCUCGACUAAGAAGAAAAACCACUUGUGAGGUUUUGCAGCGGACAAAAGGAAAGGUGUUUGAUGAAGGUUUAAGUGAAUUCAAUCUGUGGAAAAGUGUUUCUAAACAGUGGAAACAGAAUGUAAUCAGUGAAAAGAGAUUAUAAACAGUGGAAAAACAAAAAUUAUAGAAGAAAAAGCAAGAACAAGGUUGAACAACAGAUCAAAAACUGUAAAUUUUGACCUAGCUGGGUGAAGCUUGGCAAUGGGAUCUUGGUGUACUCUGAUCCACCUAAUGCAAUCUAAGUUUGAGAUUGGAUGAAGACACGGAGUGAUAGCGAAAGUGAUUGGAGAUAUGCACCGAAAAUGAGAGGAAAAGGUGACGUUUGGAGCGAGUUUGAGGUGCUAUAAAGAAGAAAGAGGUGUGACCAACUUUCUUAGGGUUUAACUAGGCCAAUAAGGCUCUCUAGCAAGGGAGAUUUGAGAGAGAAUGAGUUUCAAAUUUUGAAUACUUCAUUCGAUAAUGCCAAAUUUGAAUAGAUAAGGUUUGUUUGAGGUAUUUAUAGAUGAAAAGAGUGAGGGUAGCUUGUUACUUAAGCUACCAU